Molecule: ribosomal RNA, 468 nt
Filed under: uncultured bacterium
Lineage: Bacteria
Description: partial 16S ribosomal RNA
Rfam family: Bacterial small subunit ribosomal RNA
Source: RNAcentral
GAUGAACGCUGGCGGCGUGCCUAGCACAUGCAAGUCGAGCGAUUCUCUUCGGAGAAGAGCGGCGGACGGGUGACUAACGCGUGGGUAACCUGCCCUGGACACACGGAUAACAUACCGAAAGGUAUGCUAAUACGAGAUAAUAUGGUUUUACGGCAUGGUAUAAGCAUCAAAGCUCCGGCGGUACAGGAUGGACUCGGGUGUGAUUAGCUAGUUGGUAAGGUAACGGCUUAACAAGGAGAGGAUCAGUAGCCGACCUGAGAGGGUGAUCGGCCACAUUGGAACUGAGACACGGUCCAAACAACUACGGGAGGCAGCAGUGGGGAAUAUUGCACAAUGGGCGAAAGCCUGAUGCAGCAACGCCGCGUGGGCGAUGAAGGCCUUCGGGUCGUAAAGCUCUGUCCUCAAGGAAGAUAAUGACGGUACUUGAGGAGGAAGCCCCGGCUAACUACGUGCCAGCCGCCGCCGUAA